RNAcentral lists this long non-coding RNA (320 nucleotides) under Elaeis guineensis (African oil palm). RNAcentral describes it as "long non-coding RNA (EGUI_LNC021188)". The record is from RNAcentral. Lineage: Eukaryota; Viridiplantae; Streptophyta; Magnoliopsida; Arecales; Arecaceae.
UGUUGAAAACGAGGCAAGAAAUGCAUAAAAAGCCUAGUCUCGACAAAAGCACAGAAUAUAGGAUUAUGUUAUCUAAUGACUUAACAUAUUUAGCAAAAGAGAGCUUAGCUGCAUCCCUACAAUUCUAAAAUAAAUGGUUCAUGUAUGAGAGAUUGAAGGAAGCGAAGUCUCCACAUCCUUCAACUUCCUAUAUCCUAGCCAUCCUGAGUAAGGGAUGUGAAAAGUACUCAACAGUUAAUGCACAAAUCACAUUUGCAUACUUCAAUCUCUUUUCAUCUUUCUUUUUUCAUUUUGAAACUUUGUUUGGCUUAAGCAUGGAG